Molecule: ribosomal RNA, 434 nt
Filed under: uncultured Ruminococcus sp.
Lineage: Bacteria; Bacillati; Bacillota; Clostridia; Eubacteriales; Oscillospiraceae
Description: partial 16S ribosomal RNA
Rfam family: Bacterial small subunit ribosomal RNA
Source: RNAcentral
ACGGGAGGCAGCAGUGGGGGAUAUUGCACAAUGGGGGAAACCCUGAUGCAGCGACGCCGCGUGAGCGAAGAAGUAUUUCGGUAUGUAAAGCUCUAUCAGCAGGGAAGAAAAUGACGGUACCUGACUAAGAAGCUCCGGCUAAAUACGUGCCAGCAGCCGCGGUAAUACGUAUGGAGCAAGCGUUAUCCGGAUUUACUGGGUGUAAAGGGAGCGUAGACGGUUUGCCAAGUCUGAUGUGAAAGGUGGGGGCUCAACCCCCAAACUGCAUUGGAAACUGGUAGACUAGAGUGUCGGAGAGGUAAGUGGAAUUCCUAGUGUAGCGGUGAAAUGCGUAGAUAUUAGGAGGAACACCAGUGGCGAAGGCGGCUUACUGGACGAUAACUGACGUUGAGGCUCGAAAGCGUGGGGAGCGAACAGGAUUAGAUACCCUGGUA